This 490-nucleotide ribosomal RNA is filed under the name uncultured bacterium. RNAcentral describes it as "partial 16S ribosomal RNA". It matches the Rfam family "Bacterial small subunit ribosomal RNA", at positions 30 to 507 of the family's 1533-position model. The record is from RNAcentral.
AUUGAACGCUGGCGGCAUGCCUUACACAUGCAAGUCGAACGGCAGCAUGAUCUAGCUUGCUAGAUUGAUGGCGAGUGGCGAACGGGUGAGUAAUACAUCGGCACGUGCCCUGUAGUGGGGGAUAACUAGUCGAAAGAUUAGCUAAUACCGCAUACGACCUGAGGGUGAAAGUGGGGGACCGCAAGGCCUCAUGCUAUAGGAGCGGCCGAUGUCUGAUUAGCUAGUUGGUGAGGUAAAGGCUCACCAAGGCGACGAUCAGUAGCUGGUCUGAGAGGACGAUCAGCCACACUGGGACUGAGACACGGCCCAGACUCCUACGGGAGGCAGCAGUGGGGAAUUUUGGACAAUGGGCGAAAGCCUGAUCCAGCAAUGCCGCGUGUGUGAAGAAGGCCUUCGGGUUGUAAAGCACUUUUGUCCGGAAAGAAAUGGCUCUGGUUAAUACCUGGGGUCGAUGACGGUACCGGAAGAAUAAGGACCGGCUAACUACGUG